Molecule: non-coding RNA, 123 nt
Organism: Picea glauca (white spruce)
Lineage: Eukaryota; Viridiplantae; Streptophyta; Pinopsida; Pinales; Pinaceae
Source: Rfam
AUGUACAUGCAUACAACAUUGAAUUAAUGCACUAGAUCCCAUUAUAACUCUGCAAUUAAGCAUGCUCAGGCUAAAGUAGUACUGGGAUGGGUGAGAACCUGGGAAGUCCUAGUGUUUUACAUU